AGUAAACUGUGUAGAAAUGGUACGAUGAGAACAGAGCAGUAAGGUGAUCACCUUAGAAAGUUCCUGACUAAUGUCAGUUUUUUCAUAACCAAAAGCACCAGGAAUAGCACCAUGUUCCUCCGAAAACUAAGGGGAGCAAUGCAUCAUGCACAUGCUGGAACCAUUUCAACAUAGGUAAGAUUGAGAUUUAAUGGCGUCGGAAGGAAAUGAUAAAACAACAUCUGGAAAUUUUGGUCAUGCAGGAAGAGAAACCAUGAUAAAUAAAAACACACAUUUUAUUAUGGAAAUUGAACCUCAGGAUAAUUCGUAGACAACCUGUCCUAUAAGAAGAGGUAUAUCCACAGAACGAAGGUCUCUAUGUAAGCACAUGCCAUGACUGCAG
RNAcentral lists this long non-coding RNA (382 nucleotides) under Triticum aestivum (bread wheat). RNAcentral describes it as "long non-coding RNA (TAES_LNC028244)". Lineage: Eukaryota; Viridiplantae; Streptophyta; Magnoliopsida; Poales; Poaceae. The record is from RNAcentral.